GAUGAACGCUAGCGGCAGGCCUAAUACAUGCAAGACGAACGGCAAGAAUUAUAGCAAUACGGUUCCUAGAGUGUCGCACGGGUGCGUAACACGUAUGCAACCUACCUUGUACAGGAGUAUAGCUCGGGGAAACUCGAAUUAACCCUCCAUAAUAUAAUCGGAUGGCAUCAUUUGAUUAUUAACACUUCGGUGGUACAAGAUGGGCAUGCGUUUGAUUAGCUAGUUGGCGGGGUAAAGGCCCACCAAGGCGAUGAUCAAUAGGGGAACUGAGAGGUUGAUCCCCACACUGGCACUGAGAUACGGGCCAGACUCCUACGGGAGGCAGCAGUAGGGAAUAUUGGUCAAUGGAUGGAAGUCUGAACCAGCCAUGCCGCGUGCAGGAAGAAGGCCUUCUGGGUUGUAAACUGCUUUUGCCAGGGGAUAAAAAUUCUUUGCGAAGAAAAUUGAAGGCACCUGGUGAAUAAGCACCGGCUAACUACGUGCCAGCAGCCGCGGUAA
Molecule: ribosomal RNA, 498 nt
Filed under: uncultured bacterium
Lineage: Bacteria
Description: partial 16S ribosomal RNA
Rfam family: Bacterial small subunit ribosomal RNA
Source: RNAcentral